GCUGGGCAUGGUGGCGGGUGCCUGUAAUCCCAGCUACUUGGGAGGCUUAGGCGGGAGAAUCGCUUGAACCUGGGAGGCGGAGGUUGCAGUGAGCCGAGACCGUGCCACUGCACUCCAGCCUGGGCAACAGAGUGAGACUCCGCCUUAA
Molecule: non-coding RNA, 148 nt
Filed under: Gorilla gorilla gorilla (western lowland gorilla)
Lineage: Eukaryota; Metazoa; Chordata; Mammalia; Primates; Hominidae
Source: Rfam by way of RNAcentral